Molecule: long non-coding RNA, 882 nt
Organism: Sander lucioperca (pikeperch)
Lineage: Eukaryota; Metazoa; Chordata; Actinopteri; Perciformes; Percidae
Exons: 2
Source: RefSeq, a predicted model, not a curated record
ACAUUGCUCAGAUUGACUGAUGUUUUGUUUUUGCAUGUGCAUGACUUCUGGCUGUUUCUUUGUCAUGCUCUGCCAAGAUUCUUCAGGUUGCUGUCAUGUACAGGCCUGUCCAGAGAGUUUUAAAUGCACUACUUACAAAUCCACUUACGUACAGCCAUCUUCACAGGGUUCAGUCCCAAUUAGACAUCUGCAGUUUAAGCAUUUCUUUUGUGAGUUGAAAUCAAUCUAAUGUGCAAAGCAAUAUGUGGAAUUUUUAAGUAUGGUGGGGAAGUAAGUGUGUCCAUAAUCACUAAACAUAAACUAAUCAAUAAAAAGAUAGUCUUUUUAGAUUAAGAAAAUGUCUGGUCUGGGCAAGUCUUAUCAAAAGCUGGUUGGUUUAUAAUCAAAAUCAGCAGUGUUUAAGUAAAGUCACUCUCUGACAAUCACUAUUUGACAUUAAGUUCCCUGCUGGACAACGAAAACUAAACUUCCCCACGAGAUAACAAAAACUGCGCGCACACACAAAUGCGAAAUCGACCUGUCACCAACCUGCAGCUUCAGAGUGCCGUGUUGUGUGCUGCAGUGGCUAAUCCAAAAAACCUCCCACACGGCCAUCUACACAAAGUAAAUGCCUAUGUGCAUUUUUCGCACCCCACCAAAGAAAGAAGUUUUAGCAGGCACGAAAGGAAAAGGCAGUCAACUUUCCUCUCAUACACGGCCGCUAUAUUGUACAUAUUGGCUCUAAGCUGCAUUGUUUUGACUUGGCCUGAACACUCUGCUGUAAAGCUAGCACUAAUUUUACCGUCCAAAGUCAGGCUGGACUUUUUAACACCAUUGAACAAUCAAAAAUGAUUAUUCAGUAUUCCAUUCAUCAAGUUUGCAGGAAAUUAUUACUCUCCCCUU